Lytechinus pictus (painted urchin) is the source of this 1626-nucleotide long non-coding RNA. RefSeq lists it as uncharacterized. The record is from RefSeq and is a predicted model, not a curated record. NCBI's taxonomy places the organism in Eukaryota, Metazoa, Echinodermata, Echinoidea, Temnopleuroida, Toxopneustidae. The transcript has 3 exons.
CUGUUGACAUAAACUUGGGAAAAGGUGUCAUUUUUCAACCGCAGCAAGUCCUUGCGAAAAAGGGUCUUCGGCUUCCCAUUUUGACGGGAAAGAGGCAUAUUUUGGUGAACCACACAAAUGGUGAGAAGAGGUAGAAAGAGAGCGGGAGACAGCAACUGGAAGGAGAUGGAAGUCCAGACACUCUGCCACUGUGUGCCAUUGAACAAGAAAUCUCUCUUUGGAUUAGGGGGUCAAGCUAGUAUGAAGAUUGUUCAAGAGUCAAGACUGUUGAAGACAUGACGUCAUGGACCUGGUUGCAACUGGCAAGGGAACUAUAUGACUUCACUGAAGUAUUCACAAAACGCUUUGUAAAAUUAACAUUAGUACUAAUUUUCAUUUUUCAAAGAUUAUCAUUAUGUUGACAUUGUGGAUAUCUUUUAUGAUUGUUAUCAUAAAAUUAUUAUAGUGUUAAUGAUGAUAGGUCAUAAUAAUAGAAAUGAAAAAUAAGUAGAAAAGAAGACGACAAAGAAGGAGGAGGAAAAGAAGAAGAAGAUGAUGAAGAAGAAAAAGAAGAGGAGGGGUGGAAGAGGAGAAAAGGAGGAGAAAAAAAUUGCAUCACUGCGAGUUCAUUCAUGAUAACAGAAAUCAUCGUCUCUUUUAAAUGGAAAUAUUUAUUAAAGUUCAAGUACACCCCAGAAAAAUGUUGAUUUGAAUAAAUAGAGUAUGGGUAUGAAUAGUAAUCUUGAAUGGCUGCUGACUUUUUACUUUAUCUACUUCUCCAUUUAUUGUGUAAAUGUAGAUUAAAGGCCAAGUCCACCCCAGAGAAAUGUUGAUUUCAAUAAAUAGAGAAAAAUCAAACUAACAUAACGCUGAAAAUUUCAUCAAAAUCGGAUGUAAAAUAAGAAAGUUAUGACAUUUUAAAGUUUCGCUUAUUUUUCACAAAACAGUGAUAUGCACAACCCAGUGACAUGCAAAUGAGAGAGUCGAUGAUGUCCCUCACUCACUAUUUCUUUUUUUAUUGUUUAAAUUAUACAAUAUUUCAUUUUUUACUAAUUUGACAAUAAGGACCAACUUCACUGAACCAUAUAGUAUUAAACAAUACUAAUUCCACAUGUUGAGAGAGGAAUCAAUAGUUGUUCACUUGACAAUAAAGAGAAAAUUAGAAUAUUUCAUACAAUAAAAUACAAAAGAAAUAGUGACUGGAUGACGUCAUCAGUCUCAUUUGCAUACCGACCAGGAUGUGCAUAUAACUGUUUUGUGAAAUUAAGCGAAACUUCGAAAUGCCAUAACUUUCUUAUUUUACAUCCGAUUCUGAUGAAAUUUUAAGUGUUAUGCUUGUUGGAUUAAUCUCUUUUUAUUUAAACCAAAUUUUGUUGGGGUGGACUUGUCCUUUAAGCAUAAAAAUGUGAUAUAUUUAUUCUUGUUUUUUAAGAUGUAUUAUUGUGCCAUGUUUGUAGUUGUACACUUGAUUGAGGUAUUGUAUUAAUUUAGGAUAUGAAUAAUAUAUUUUAUUUGAAUCCACAUACCUCUUUUAAUCAUGUUUAUACAGUCAUGAGUAGGGGAAAUGGGACAGGUGACAAGAUUAUAUUGCUUUACAAAUUUUAGUGUGCAUUUAUUUCAAAAGUAAUAAAUUUACAUAAAAUGUCA